Triticum dicoccoides is the source of this 269-nucleotide long non-coding RNA. RefSeq lists it as uncharacterized. NCBI's taxonomy places the organism in Eukaryota, Viridiplantae, Streptophyta, Magnoliopsida, Poales, Poaceae. The transcript has 3 exons. The record is from RefSeq and is a predicted model, not a curated record.
AUUUCUAUGGCUCAUUGGCCAAAUCAUUUGUGCAGUCAUGGUGGGCUUCCUAGCGAUUGGAUGGCUUGUGUUCCACGAGAUUAACAAUCUGGGUGGAGAACCAUUACCUAAAUGACAAUUGCAGUCAAUGGUGGAUUAUCGCAGUUAGUGGCUUUGCAUUCAGAACAAUUGCAACCAGUCGUGCAUUCUGAAGCAGCUGCACUGACCACAAUUCCGAUCGAUGGAGCAAUUGCAGUGAGAAUUCGGUCAGCAGGUCCACCGUUAAGCAA